This 500-nucleotide ribosomal RNA is filed under the name uncultured bacterium. RNAcentral describes it as "partial 16S ribosomal RNA". It matches the Rfam family "Bacterial small subunit ribosomal RNA", at positions 30 to 523 of the family's 1533-position model. The record is from RNAcentral.
AUUGAACGCUGGCGGAAUGCUUUACACAUGCAAGUCGAACGGCAGCACGGACUUCGGUCUGGUGGCGAGUGGCGAACGGGUGAGUAAUGUAUCGGAACGUGCCCAGUCGUGGGGGAUAACGUAGUGAAAAUUACGCUAAUACCGCAUACGAUCUAUGGAUGAAAGCGGGGGAUCGCAAGACCUCGCGCGAUUGGAGCGGCCGAUAUCAGAUUAGGUAGUUGGUGGGGUAAAGGCCCACCAGGCCAACGAUCUGUAGCUGGUCUGAGAGGACGACCAGCCACACUGAAACUGAGACACGGUCCAGACUCCUACGGGAGGCAGCAGUGGGGAAUUUUGGACAAUGGGCGAAAGCCUGAUCCAGCCAUUCCGCGUGCAGGAUGAAGGCCCUCGGGUUGUAAACUGCUUUUGUACAGAACGAAAAGGUUUCUACUAAUACUAGGAGCUCAUGACGGUACUGUAAGAAUAAGCACCGGCUAACUACGUGCCAGCAGCCGCGGUAA